GUAACACGUGGGCAACCUGCCCUUGAGACGGGGAUAACUCCGGGAAACCGGAGCUAAUACCGGAUAACACAUAUCUUCGCAUGAGGAUAUGUUAGAAGGUGGCUUUUAGCUACCACUCAAGGAUGGGCCCGCGGCGCAUUAGCUAGUUGGUGAGGUAACGGCUCACCAAGGCGACGAUGCGUAGCCGACCUGAGAGGGUGAUCGGCCACACUGGGACUGAGACACGGCCCAGACUCCUACGGGAGGCAGCAGUAGGGAAUCUUCCGCAAUGGACGAAAGUCUGACGGAGCAACGCCGCGUGAGUGAUGAAGGUUUUCGGAUCGUAAAGCUCUGUUGUUAGGGAAGAACAAGUACCUGUUAAAUAAGCAGGUACCUUGACGGUACCUAACCAGAAAGCCACGGCUAACUACGUGCCAGCAGCCGCGGUAAUACGUAGGUGGCAAGCGUUGUCCGGAAUUAUUGGGCGUAAAGCGCGCGCAGGCGGUUCCUUAAGUCUGAUGUGAAAGCCCACGGCUCAACCGUGGAGGGUCAUUGGACCUGGGGAACUUGAAUGCAGAAGAGGAGAGCGGAAUUCCA
This 576-nucleotide ribosomal RNA is filed under the name Priestia endophytica. RNAcentral describes it as "bacterial SSU rRNA". It matches the Rfam family "Bacterial small subunit ribosomal RNA", at positions 110 to 671 of the family's 1533-position model. The record is from RNAcentral. Lineage: Bacteria; Bacillati; Bacillota; Bacilli; Caryophanales; Bacillaceae.